Camellia sinensis is the source of this 2516-nucleotide long non-coding RNA. RefSeq lists it as uncharacterized. NCBI's taxonomy places the organism in Eukaryota, Viridiplantae, Streptophyta, Magnoliopsida, Ericales, Theaceae. The record is from RefSeq and is a predicted model, not a curated record.
AGGCACAUUAUGCGCUAUUACUCUAUUCUUUUAAAGAAUAGAUGCAACAACAUGUUCAUGUACAUGCCAUGGAAGUAGUAAUGGCUUGCUGGGAGAUUGAGCAAUCCCUACAAAGCUUAACAGCAUGCAGCUCAUCUAGAUUUGGACACAUCCACAUCUUUCUUUGGUGUUUAUGAUGGCCAUGGAGGUAACCAAUUUUUAUGACCUUCUAAUUGUAAGGUUUGCUAAACCUUGUGAUUAUGUUCAUCUGAUUAUUUCAUUUUCUAAGACAAAAGCAGGGCAACAACAUCAUCAAUCUGAAGACAUCAAACUUGGAUGGCAUAUGUGAAGUUUUCAUAUGCUAGUUGACCUUAACCACAUGCACUGCACUCUUCGUAACCAAUGAACCAUUCAUUUUUUUACUUUUUUAUUUUUUAGAUGGGAACACACCAGUCGUUGAAUUAAUUCACUAAUUUUAGACAUAAAAUGUGCUCACAUGGGUGGCCCAUUGCUGGAUGUGUAAGUAGAGGCCUCCACUAGUCCUCCAAGUACAGUACAUACAGAAGCAAUGAAAAGAAAAAGGAAAAGAAAAAGAAAUGAUAAUCUUCUAUUGUUUGAAGAACUAAAGAGAAGAAAAGAAUAGAAAGAUGGAGGAGAAAGAAGAAAAAACAAAAUUUUAUUAGGUGAGUAAUAAGGGCAAACAAAUUCACCAUUUGAAAAAUAAAAAAUAAAAGUAGGGGUAAAACAGGUAUUAACUAUAUUUUCAUUUCUUUUGUAUUCAAAUUCCUCAAAAAAACAAAAUUUAAAAGGUAACAUUUAAGAGCAUCUUCAAUGGUGUACUAACCAAAGCAAAAACUUGGUUCCGCUCCUCAAAUUAUGAUAUUGCUAAAUUGUGUGUCAAACUUGACAAUUGAUUUUGGAUUUGGAUCAUUGCUCUUAUUUGUUGUUGCAAGUAAGGAACAUGGAAGAAUGGCAUGGAAAUCUCCUACUAGACUAUGUGAUGCUUUUGGUGUUGGCAUCAGUAAGCACUCCGACUCAUUGAAAGUGGAAUGUUAAACUACUUAGCCUAAACAGAAAUGAAAAGGGCAACAGAUAUGACAGAAUAGCAGAGACCAUUAUGUUUAUUUUCCUCAUUUUUCAGCUGUUUUAUUUUUCAUUUUCCAUUUAAGAUACUUGUUAUAUGCUUAAGAGCUAAACUCUUAUAUAAACUUUUCUAGGUACUACAUCCUUUUACUAAGAACUUACUUUUACGAGGUUUAGAAAGAUUUGCAAUGUUUGCAAAAAGGUACCCCAUGAACUCAAAAAGGCGAUGUCCAAAUUAUGGGACGUAGGUGAUGACUUUACCAAAAUUAUUAGCAUGGACCCAUUCUUUCAAAGGAGAAAGUAAGUCUGGCAACCAAAGAUUGUAAUGCAUCUAUAUUUCAUAAAGAGGAAUUAAGAUAUGUGCAAUUUUUUCAUCCAUUUAAUUUAUAGAGACAUUUCUAUCUCCUUAUACAAGAUGUUUUUGUUUGUUUAUAAUGGUCCUGUAUUUUGUGAAACCAUGAAAAGCUUUCCCCUGUUUACUAUCCCUUAGGUGGUUUCUGGCUCUCCCAGUGUAUUGAAAAGCUUGACCUGUCUUACUUUGAGGUAAUGAGAUAGCCAAGUAGAUCAAUUAUAACAUGGAUAGGUUGAUUGAUGAGUUGUCAACAGCUUAAGCUUUUGUUCAUCAAAAUAAAUGUUUCUCAAUUUUUUGUUUUGGUUUUUAUUUUGUUUUCAAUGAUUUAUCUUUGUAGAAAAACAGUUUAGAUAUAAUGGUUGAAUCGACAAAAUCAUUCCUGUAUAUAUCUAUGAAAUCAGAGCAAAUUUCACAGCAAUGUUAUUAGACUGAUAUUUUAUUCACAAGGCCACAAUCCUAGUUUAUGCACCAAGAAGUGUAGCCCUUAGGACAGUAAGCUCCCUGAAAUAAGAGCAGAUCCCUAUUUCUUUAUAGAAUAUGGGAUUAUUCCCACUAAGUCAUGGUAUUGGAUGAAUUUUAGAUUUUCUGUUAACUAUUCCUGUUUUUGUUGCAAUUUGGAUUUUUUUUCCCUGCCAAAUUAUUCAUUGGACCAUUCAAGGUAAUUGAUUUUUAUGGUCACCUUUCUCUGUGGCACAUCAAUAUGCAUCAUUCUUUCUCCGUUUUAUUUUUAUUUGUUUUAUAUUUACAUUAGUUUAUUGACCCGAUGUGAUUGUUAGUGUAAAUAAACCAUAAGCAAAGCACAACUUUGAACUUUUCCAACCAUAGAAGAAAAACUUGCAUUGCACUGCUCUAGAAAUUUAGCUUCAUCCUAAUUUAAAAAUUUCUAUUAACAGCAUUUAAUUUCUUUGACAUUGAGUUGUCUUUCUAUGUUUUAAAUAAUAUUUCAAAUGUUGCAACUGUACCACCUUAGUGUAGACACCCCGUUUUUUACUACCCUUAAAACUUGGGUGCUUUAUUCCAAACACCGGAUGAUGAAACUUACACUGUGCAAUCUUUUGAAUUUUCAACAAAGAAAUUUGGAUUCAAGUUCUAAUCCCAAACC